RNAcentral lists this ribosomal RNA (253 nucleotides) under uncultured bacterium. Its description in RNAcentral is "partial 16S ribosomal RNA". It matches the Rfam family "Bacterial small subunit ribosomal RNA", at positions 524 to 776 of the family's 1533-position model. The record is from RNAcentral.
UACGAAGGGGGCUAGCGUUGUUCGGAAUUACUGGGCGUAAAGGGCGCGUAGGCGGUGUGUCAAGUCAGGCGUGAAAGCCCCGGGCUCAACCUGGGAACUGCGCUUGAGACUGGCACGCUCGAGUUCGGGAGAGGAUGGUGGAAUUCCCAGUGUAGAGGUGAAAUUCGUAGAUAUUGGGAAGAACACCGGUGGCGAAGGCGGCAUCCUGGACCAAUAUUGACGCUGAGGAGCGAAAGCCAGGGGAGCAAACGGG